AGAGAGAGACAUGCGCGCAUAUCAAUAAGCGGAGGAAAAGAAACUAACAAGGAUUCCCCUAGUAACGGCGAGUGAAGCGGGAAGAGCUCAAAUUUGAAAUCUUAAAGGGUUUCCCUUUACGAAUUGUAGUUUAAAGAAGUGUUUUCUGUUGAGGUUUUGGUAAAAGUUCUUUGGAAUAGGAGCAUCAUAGAGGGUGAGAAUCCCGUAUUUGACCUUUACUUUCCAACUUUGUGAUACACUUUCAAAGAGUCGGAUUGUUUGGGAAUGCAGUCCAAAAUGGGUGGUAAAUUUCAUCUAAAGCUAAAUAUUGGCGAGAGACCGAUAGCGAACAAGUACCGUGAGGGAAAGAUGAAAAGAACUUUGAAAAGAGAGUUAAACAGUACGUGAAAUUGUCAAAAGGGAAGCGUUUGACACCAGUGUUGUUUUUCUGAAAAUCAAUUAAAGAACUGUUUAUGCUAAGCUGUUUAGACUUUAUCAGCUAACUGUUUAGUUUUGAGCUUUUCUUUAAUGCACUUUUCAGUUAACAAGUCAACAUCAAUUUCUUUUGCUGUAAAAAAGCUUGAGGAAGGUGGCUUGAGAUUCGUCUUAAGUGUUUAUAGCCUCUUGCCUAUGCAGUCGGAGAGAUUGAGGUCUGCAGCGUAGAUCCUUCGGGGCUAAAUGCAUUUGUGCUAAGUUAUAGCAUUUUAUAGACAACUUGUUGACUAUGAUUUGUCUUGUAGCUUACUCGCUUAUGUUAUUUUACCUACGCUUAGGAUGUUGAGCGCAUGUCUCUCUCU
RNAcentral lists this ribosomal RNA (776 nucleotides) under uncultured Neocallimastigales. RNAcentral describes it as "partial large subunit ribosomal RNA". It matches the Rfam family "Eukaryotic large subunit ribosomal RNA", at positions 23 to 616 of the family's 3401-position model. The record is from RNAcentral. Lineage: Eukaryota; Fungi; Neocallimastigomycota; Neocallimastigomycetes; Neocallimastigales.